Molecule: ribosomal RNA, 253 nt
Filed under: uncultured bacterium
Lineage: Bacteria
Description: partial 16S ribosomal RNA
Rfam family: Bacterial small subunit ribosomal RNA
Source: RNAcentral
UACAGAGGGUGCGAGCGUUGUCCGGAAUUAUUGGGCGUAAAGGGCUCGUAGGCGGUCUGUCGCGUCGGGAGUGAAAACUCAGGGCUUAACCCUGAGCCUGCUUCCGAUACGGGCAGACUAGAGGUAUGCAGGGGAGAACGGAAUUCCUGGUGUAGCGGUGAAAUGCGCAGAUAUCAGGAGGAACACCGGUGGCGAAGGCGGUUCUCUGGGCAUUACCUGACGCUGAGGAGCGAAAGUGUGGGGAGCGAACAGG